CUCACCCCAGGAGACCAGCACCCUGAGCAGGGAGAUGCUUAGUCCUGACCUGCCUGACUCUGCCUGGAACACCAGGCUCCUCUGCCGUGUCAUGCUUUGUCUCCUGGGAGCAGGUUCAGUCGCUGCUGGAGUCAUCCAGUCCCCAAGACACCUGGUCAAAGAAAAGAGGGAAACAGCCACUCUGAAAUGCUAUCCUAUCCCUGGACACGACACUGUCUACUGGUACCAGCAGGGUCCAGGUCAGGGCCCCCAGUUCCUCAUUUCGUUUUAUGAAAAGAUGCAGAAUGAUAAAGGAAGCAUCCCUGAUCGAUUCUCAGCUCAACAGUUCAGUGACUAUCAUUCUGAACUGAACAUGAGCUCCUUGGAGCUGGGGGACUCAGCCCUGUACCUCUGUGCCAGCAGCUUAGGCACAGCCCUGGAGAAUUACUGGCUUUCUGUACCCAAACCCUCCUAUCUCAGUUGGUGA
Nomascus leucogenys (northern white-cheeked gibbon) is the source of this 466-nucleotide non-coding RNA. The record is from the annotation of a RefSeq genome assembly. Lineage: Eukaryota; Metazoa; Chordata; Mammalia; Primates; Hylobatidae.